CGACAGAUCCAAACAAGGAACAUUUGAAAAGCGCCUCGUGUGAUCUGGAACAAAGACGUUUUAUAAUCAGAUUUAUCAAGCUGCGAAGAGGGAGUUUUAGUGAACGGAAGCAGCAGCAUUCUGUCACCAGGAAAUACUCCUUUAUCCAGAAUUGAGCCCCUCCCCAGAAGGCAAAGGAUCACCCAGCUGCUGGAAGGUGUAGGUACCCUCAAUGGCUCAGUAGCCAGUGUAGAUCCUGUCUUUCGUAAUCAGCAGCUACAUCUGGCUACUGGGUCUCUGAUGGCAUCUUCUAGCUUCUGCUUCAGUGUCCUGAGAGAGAUUAUUGGGCAGUCUUUAAUAAUGAAAACUUUACCUUGAAUUACACACACACACACACACACACACACACACACACACACACACUCACACACACACUCACACACACACAAAGAGAGAGAGAGAGAGAGAGAGAGAGAGACAGAGAGAGAGGAGAGAGUCAAGUUCUAGGGUGUUAAGUCCAACAUUAUCAGCUGGGGCUUGGGAACCUUCAAGGUUUUAUGAAUGAUGAGGUCUAUUUGCUUUCAAUACUACAAGGGGGAGGAAUCUGGAUAUUUAUCCAUGUUUUAGCUCUUACCUGUUUUUGUUUUACCUCUUUUUUUCUCUUUCCCCCCUAUGAAAGGUAUCAUUUGGAUAGAUCAAUCUAUUCAUCUAUCUACCUACCUACCUAUCUACCCCUACCCAUCCACCCAUUUAUCCAUCCACCCAUCCAUCCAUCCAUCCACCCACCUGCCCACGUACCUACCAGUUUAUCUAUCCGACCUUCCUUCCAUCCAGCUUUUUCAUCUCUUGACUUUUAGAUGGCAUUUUCAACAUGAUGUCAUGAUUAAAUGAUGACAACUUGAUGAUAUGAUGGUUUAAGGAAAUUUUGUUGGUAGUAGGUAAGUCCCAGCAUUUCUGACUGUUGGUUUUCUUUUCCUUGUGGUAGAAAAGACAAAUGCCAAUUUUGAAAUCUUGAAUGCAGUAGGCAGUUGUGUUGAAAUAGUAUGUGAGAAUUACUUGCAAGCUGAACAUCCAGGUCUGGGGCAUGAACCUGGCAUACAAUGUAGAUUUCUGUGUUCGUUAGGCAACAGCUACAUUGUCUGCUGGGUUUCAGGCUACCUGGAAACAUGUUCUCCAUUGGCUGUCUCACCAAUGCUACCCCUAUAAUGUUUCUGAAUAACUGUUUUCCAGGAGGUAUAAACCAGUGGAGUUUAUCAUUGAAUAGAGUGCAGAGAAAGGACCGCAAGAAAGCUGAUCACCUCAGCAAUGAAUGAUUUCAAUACGAUUUCACCCAAAUGGUCUCACACACCAGCCUAGUAAACCAGAGAUAAGGUGUAAUGUCAUCCUUCCUUCCUUCUCCCUGCCUCAACUGUCAAAGAUUGACAACUUACAUGUUGUUUACUUUUUGGCUUCUAUUUCUGUUCAUAAUUAUUAUCAGAAGGCAUAGCACCCACAAGCCUAAUCAUACUGCCUUACAACCUUAUUCCUCUUCAUUUUGUCUUCUCACUUACCUGCAGAAACCCAGUUUAUUUUUGUUCUCCCUUUACCACACCAGCCUUGUAACUGUUAUGAAUGACCCUCAAUCUCACUGGAAUCUGAAUCACUCAGGAAUUCAAGCAAACUGGAUGUUUUAACCACUGUUCAGCUUUCUUAUGGAAUGACAGAGAACUUGUAAAGAUAAAACACCAGUUUGCAGGAAGAAAGGAAGAGAAUGGAAAUUGCUUCUGGAAAAUACUAGUUUUACAAUAUGUUUUGUUUGUCUGCUCUCUUAAAUAAACUUAAUCCUAUAAACAUUUUUUAAGAACUAGCCAUUAAGACUGUUAAGUUCUCAAUUAUAAAGGAAUAAAAUGUUUUAAGGAGGAUUUAUUUGCCCUUGCUUAUAUGAACUGCAUAUUUUUAGUAGGAAAUCAUGUAAUUUAAAUUAGUAUUGGUUAACAGAUUUAACGUAGAAAAUGGACAUAUAAAGAAUACAAGGAUAAAUGUCUACAUGUAAUAAUGGAUGGUAGUGAUAUAAUGCAUUUUUGUCAUCCCAUGCUGAAUUCAGUAAAAAUAAAGCUAAUGACUUGGAGCUUUUAAAA
RNAcentral lists this long non-coding RNA (2096 nucleotides) under Homo sapiens (human). Its description in RNAcentral is "HSALNT0407435". The stretch from base 205 to 288 matches the Rfam family "mir-221 microRNA precursor family". The record is from RNAcentral. Lineage: Eukaryota; Metazoa; Chordata; Mammalia; Primates; Hominidae.